UCAUGUGGCAUUGACUCACAGAUUCAGAAGGGACGUGUCCCCCUCUGUGUCUGCGUGGGGGCCGUGGCCUGACGUGGGUCACGUGACGUAAAGGCGAGCCGUUCGUUGGAAGAGUGGACAGACACUCCCACGAUGCAGAGUUGACACCGAAGUCAUCGUCAGAGAAUUCCAGAGACUCCACGAUUCUGGACUGCCUGAUGGGCGCUUUGAAUGGAAGAGAAAGGAACUGAAACUUGCUCCGAGAUGGAUGACAGAGGAGGGCUGAGUCUCUCUGCUGCUGAGCAGGACAUGGGACACAACUCGCGGCACAGAGACACCAUGGAGUCCACCACCACCUGGACAGAGUUGACCAAGCCUUGGCCAGUUCUCCAGCCAGCGUGUCCAGGCGCUGUUUGACGGGCCCGUCGACCGACAGCACGUGGGCCAGCUCACACAGAGAGGGAUACAGCUGGCAAACACACACACCGCGGGGCACGUUAGUCAAUCAAACUAUCAAACAAUCACAGCACUGUAAGUGCAGAAACUCUCACCGCUCUGGAGUUUCGGGCUUCUUUGAGGACCUGUCUGGCCGUCUGGACCUCCUCUCCUUGCUCGCAGCCUUUGAGGACACACACCUGCUGCUGCACCCGCACACACAGACGCUCCAUCAACUACACACACACACACGACAUGGAUGCAAACGGUGAGUCACACGUAUGAGACACUUGGUCCAGUCAUUAAAUGACACGUGCACCUGCUCGGCCGUGCUGGUGACGAGGCCCUGGUGCAGCCUCAGGGCCUGUUUCUGAGAGAAACGCUGGGUCUGGUUGUUCCUGAGCAGCGCACGCUGGAUCUGUAACAGGCAAACCACACACGACGCACAAAGACGCACAGGUGAGACCAGUCCACAUACACGGUAAUAGAGUGGAGA
Molecule: long non-coding RNA, 910 nt
Organism: Betta splendens (Siamese fighting fish)
Lineage: Eukaryota; Metazoa; Chordata; Actinopteri; Anabantiformes; Osphronemidae
Exons: 4
Source: RefSeq, a predicted model, not a curated record